UAGAACACAGAAUAUAGUCACAAUCCAGGAUAUCUCCCAUAGAUGCCAAGAUCAAUACUACAUGAAGCCUCUGAAUGGGUUUAAAGCAAUAGAACCCACAAAUAUUUAGAGUGGAAGAAAUUUCCAGCACAAGAUAUUUUAGAAGAACUUCAUAAAAGAAAUCCACUUCCAUCAGAAUACAUCCUCAUACACUAUCGUUGUUUAAGUAUAUAAUGAUCUCCUGGUUCUGCUCAUUUCACUCAGCAUCAGUUCAUGUAUAAUGAAGACUAUCAGAUCAUGGGGCUCCAUUUUCUCACUUUUUUCAGUUUCCUUUUUCUUCCAGAUGCUCACAUUGACCUCAGGUCAGGAAGAGAUGAUAUCAAUGGAUCCCGAGGUGGGAAAGAUUAUGAGGAACGUCAUUAGCUUCUGGAUGGUAUCACAAAUGUUUAGUACAUAUAUAUUCCUCACUGAUGAAUAUAUUAAGAAACAUGCCUUUGCAUGGCAGAUAAAUGGGAUCCUGGCAGUGACAGGCUCACUGGAAGUGGGCGUUUGUAUUUGUUAUUUGUGGACAAAGCACAGAUGCUCAGGGCUUAUUUUCAAGGAAGAAUCGAUGAACUGGUUUGCUUGGGGUAUCACACUGAUCAUCUUCCUAUUCUUAGGAAUAAUAAUUUUGAAAAGGAAAUAUAGAUAUACCUUCUUACUUAUGGUGACAAUGUUUUUAAUUGGUUUCCACAACAUUGAGAGCAUCACCUUUGUGUUUCCUGUGAUGAGGCUAUAUCUUUCUCUGUUUAUUUCUCUAAGUGUAAUUUAAUAAGAAAACUGAUUGCAGUAAAAUUCUCUUCUCCAAACUCUAACGGUGUUUCUGAUUUAGUUUCUUCAAUAGAACAAUAUCUACGUCCCACACAUGGUUGUAUUAAUACCCAAUUAUUCUUACAUCAUUCUGAAGCAUUUAAUGUCCUUAUUUUUUAC
Molecule: long non-coding RNA, 948 nt
Filed under: Sarcophilus harrisii (Tasmanian devil)
Lineage: Eukaryota; Metazoa; Chordata; Mammalia; Dasyuromorphia; Dasyuridae
Description: lncRNA (ENSSHAG00000028049.1)
Source: RNAcentral